This 292-nucleotide ribosomal RNA is filed under the name uncultured bacterium. RNAcentral describes it as "partial 16S ribosomal RNA". It matches the Rfam family "Bacterial small subunit ribosomal RNA", at positions 505 to 796 of the family's 1533-position model. The record is from RNAcentral.
GUGUCAGCAGCCGCGGUAAUACAGAGACUGCAAGCGUUGUUCGGAUUCAUUGGGCGUAAAGGGUGCGCAGGCGGUGUGCUAAGUCGGAUGUGAAAUCUCACAGCCUAACUGUGAUAGGUCAUUCGAAACUGGCAUGCUAGAGGAUUGGAGAGGAGACUGGAAUAGUUGGUGUAGCAGUGAAAUGCGUAGAGAUCAACUAGAACACCGGUGGCGAAGGCGAGUCUCUGGACAAUUCCUGACGCUCAGGCACGAAAGCCAGGGGAGCAAACGGGAUUAGAAACCCCCGUAGUCC